RNA transcript from Coffea arabica (coffee), 3342 nucleotides. RefSeq lists it as uncharacterized. The record is from RefSeq and is a predicted model, not a curated record. Lineage: Eukaryota; Viridiplantae; Streptophyta; Magnoliopsida; Gentianales; Rubiaceae.
AUAGUAGGACUGUAGGAGUAUAAGAAUUGGAAUGGGAGCAGAAAAUUCAAACUUGAGCGAGCAGGUUGAGAAAAAGUCCUUUUUGGGUUUCAAUUCACAGUUCCCACUGGCGGUGGUGGUGGCGGAAGAAAGAUGGUGGGGAGGAAGAUGGAAUGGGCGGCGAGAGGGAACCACCUAAGAGGGAUACCAAGAAAAGCUAUUUUCAUGGCGGUCGGCGCUUUUGCAAAAGCGGUAGCCAAUUUGCUCAACACCACCACCGUCCAUAAUGCCGAGACCCUCAUUCACCUUGUCCGAUCCCGCCCUCCUGGCGUCCCUCUCCUCACCGUCAGCAAUCACAUGUCCACGUUGGAUGACCCUGUCAUGUGGGGUUUCAAAGGUUUCCCCAUUACUGAUGCAAGAAUUGGACGCUGGGUACUAGCAGCUGAAGAUAUAUGCUUUAAAAAUACGGGAAAUGCAUACCUAUAACAAGAGGAGGAGGAAUCUAUCAGGAACAUAUGAAUGAAGCUCUUGAUCGCUUGAGGGAUGGAGCUUGGUUACAUACAUUUCCAGAAGGCAAAGUGUGUCAAGAAGAAGCACCAAUAAGAAGGUUAAAAUGGGGAACUGCCAGUCUCAUUGCUCGUGCUCCUGUAACUCCAAUAGUUCUGCCAAUUUUUCAUCAUGGUUUGCAAAAGGUGAUGCCUGAAAAUUAUAUGUUUGGAAGAAGACCUCUUUUACCGUUAUGGAAUAGGAAUAUCAACAUUGUCAUUGGUGAGCCAAUAGAAUUUGACUUGCCUAAGCUGAAGCAGACGGCAUUGUAUCGGUCUAAGGAUUCAAGUCAUUCUGGUGCCAGGUGGCCCAUUCUGAAACCGUGUGGACUGGAUGAGGCAGCACAAAGAUGGCUUUACACAUCCAUAUCAGAGCGAAUUCGGACUGUGAUGGAGAGAUUGCAAAGUUUGGGAAAGUUGAAGUGCUGAUCUAAAGUUCAAAGAACUGAACUUGACAGUGUGGUUUUGAGUCAUGGCGCACUCAACUUCCUAUUUUUAAAUCUUGUGCAUUUUUGGCAGGCUUUUUACACUCCCUCUUGUUUGUUGAAGAUUAAUGUCUUAGGUCUAGAAUGAAUUUUUCUGCCCAUUGACGAUUGGUGUUGAUUAACUCUGUAGUUGCGCUUUCAAGUGGAGAGUGUAUUAGUUGCAAAUCUUGCAGGUUGCCAUUUACAGUUUAUGCCGGACUUCUAUGUGCAGCAUCAAUAUUCUUUCUUGUGCAUUCCCAAGGACACGAGUCUUUUAUUUUGGGAAAGAGGCAAUGGCUUGGAUGGGUGAACUUCGAUUAAGCCGAUUAGAAUGAGAACAAUUAGAGAAUGAGGAUGUCUUUUGUCAUUCUACCAUCGUCCUCAUUUCUUCUUCAAGGAAACCUUCAUAUGUGGAGCACGGGGGGUCAGAUUCCGUUUUUGUUGAGUUGAUUUUCAGGUGCACAAAUAGUUCCUGUAAUAGGAAAAAAAGGAAUGAUUGUGCUGUUUCGCCAUGUUUAACAUUCUGCUAUUUCAGCUGGUUGCUGCCCAAAAAGAAAAGGAAAAAAUCCAACCUAAUCAACAAUAUCAGAAGCGAAAAAAAGAUCGGUAUCUCACAGAAUUAGAUGAUAUUCAUGCGCCGUUUUCUCCUGGAUCCAGUUGUGUCAUGUAUGUUCUCCAUUGAUAAAUCUCUCUCAUGUGUACAGUGUUUGUAAGCCUGGUCAAACAAAAUAGGUCGGUCUGUGUCAGAUGAUAAUCUAAUUAAAUCCCAGAAAGUGAGUGCUGCCCUGUCUCCAUUUUUCAGUCAAAUGAUGAUGAGGAAAUGAUGGUCCUGACUCUGCAGCAUCCUUCUCAUCCAUCAAUGGCAGCGCUCCCCAACACCAGCACCAACAGCCGUCUUAUUGCCUUCACCACCCCAAAAAAUUAUGCAGAAAGGCUCUCCCACGUUAUCCAACUCAAGGGCUGGUGUCCCAUCUGGUGUCCCACUGUCAUUGUUGAAACCACCCCACACACCAUCUCCUCCAUCCAAUUCUACCUCUCCAAUCCAAAUGCCAUCAACAAUUCCCAGAAUCAUCCCAACCUCGAACAAUUCUCAGGUAUAGCUUUCACAUCAAGAACUGGAAUCAAAGCUUUCUCAGAAGCCUUAACCAACAUCCACUCACCCCCACUUGCCCCACAUGGUGAAACCUUCACAAUUUCAGCUCUAGGCAAAGACUCAGAGCUGCUAGAUGAAUCUUUUAUUAAUAAACUUUGUGAAAAUCCCCGUAGAAUUAAGGUCUUGGUUCCUCCAAUUUCAACACCAACAAGUCUAGCCGAAUCACUGGGAUUAGGCCAGGGAAGAAAGGUGUUAUGCCCAGUUCCAUCUGUACUAGGCCUGGAGGAACCACCUGUUGUGCCUAAUUUCCUUGCUCAUCUAGCUAGAAUGGGAUGGACUGCGGUUAGAGUUAACGGUUAUGAGACCCGGUGGGGGGGCCCCACGUGUGCUGAGGAGGUAGCGAGGAGGACUGAUGAGGAAUGUGGGUUGGAUGGCCUUGUGUUUACAAGUACUGCAGAGGUUGAAGGGCUUUUGAAGAGCUUGAAAGAGUUGGGGCUGAAUUGGGAGAUGAUGAGGAUGAGGUGUCCAAGCAUGUUGGUGGCUGCUCAUGGUCCAGUUACAGCUUCUGGUGCUGAGAGAUUGGGAGUUGGCAUAGAUGUGGUACCAAUAAGGUAAUGCCAGUUCUUGCUUUCUUUUGAAGAAGGGAGGGUUAUGUAAUAUGUAUGUAUUGGAGAGAACAAGAAAAAGCUCUGAACUCAGGACAAAGUAAUUGGUAAAAAUUUCCAGCGAUCUCAUUCCAAACAUUCAUACACUCCUGAUUUUGGAACUUCACAUUUGCCCUUUCGAUCAUUAUGGGAAGAGAAAAUUACGGAAAUGAAAUGAUUGGUUUAUUUGCCUCUCUCUUUAUCCUCCAUCCAUGAUACAGAUGUCUACAUGGAGAUUUUGAGUUCAUUUUACAUUCCCUUUCAAAACAUUAAGAAGAUAUUUUCUUCUGUACGAGGAGGAAUUUGAGGAAGAGUUUUUGAGCUUCCUAUAACCAGAAAGUUGUUAAAUUGGCCUAUGUGAUGAUGAAGGCCUGCUAGAAUGGACCCAACCACUGAAGAUCAGAAAAUAUGCUGGAUACCAAACAACUCAAACGAACAAGGAGGCAUUGGCCCUCAAAAUGAGACUCCACUGAAAUUAUGUACAGAAUAAAACCCCCCCAAAAAAAAAAGGGAAAAAUAAUGAAAGUGAAAUGUAUCAAUUGACCAUUUAUCUGUGUUUGGUGUGAAGGCAGAUAGAAUAUGUAUCAAAGUUCCUAUUGCCACCAACUUUUUAUCAA